AUGUACCACUCGUACACUUCGGUUCUGAGCGCGCCGUCCGCGCCCACCUGACAGCUGCUCGCUACGUUUGUUAGCC
RNAcentral lists this small RNA (76 nucleotides) under Xanthomonas citri. RNAcentral describes it as "sX9 sRNA". It matches the Rfam family "Xanthomonas sRNA sX9". The record is from RNAcentral. Lineage: Bacteria; Pseudomonadati; Pseudomonadota; Gammaproteobacteria; Lysobacterales; Lysobacteraceae. RNAcentral also lists the same sequence under 8 other names.